CUUUAAAUAAGCUAAAUCACAAAGCUGCUGGGCUCAUAACCCAGAAAUGAAUAAUUCUUUAAA
Molecule: transfer RNA, 63 nt
Filed under: Microceramus pontificus
Lineage: Eukaryota; Metazoa; Mollusca; Gastropoda; Stylommatophora; Urocoptidae
Description: tRNA-Met
Source: RNAcentral